AGCGUACACGGUGGAUGCCCUGGCAGUCAGAGGCGAUGAAGGACGUGCUAAUCUGCGAUAAGCGUCGGUAAGGUGAUAUGAACCGUUAUAACCGGCGAUUUCCGAAUGGGGAAACCCAGUGUGUUUCGACACACUAUCAUUAACUGAAUCCAUAGGUUAAUGAGGCGAACCGGGGGAACUGAAACAUCUAAGUACCCCGAGGAAAAGAAAUCAACCGAGAUUCCCCCAGUAGCGGCGAGCGAACGGGGAGGAGCCCAGAGCCUGAAUCAGUGUGUGUGUUAGUGGAAGCGUCUGGAAAGGCGCGCGAUACAGGGUGACAGCCCCGUACACAAAAAUGCACAUGCUGUGAGCUCGAUGAGUAGGGCGGGACACGUGGUAUCCUGUCUGAAUAUGGGGGGACCAUCCUCCAAGGCUAAAUACUCCUGACUGACCGAUAGUGAACCAGUACCGUGAGGGAAAGGCGAAAAGAACCCCGGCGAGGGGAGUGAAAAAGAACCUGAAACCGUGUACGUACAAGCAGUGGGAGCACGCUUCGGCGUGUGACUGCGUACCUUUUGUAUAAUGGGUCAGCGACUUAUAUUCUGUAGCAAGGUUAACCGAAUAGGGGAGCCGAAGGGAAACCGAGUCUUAACUGGGCGUUAAGUUGCAGGGUAUAGACCCGAAACCCGGUGAUCUAGCCAUGGGCAGGUUGAAGGUUGGGUAACACUAACUGGAGGACCGAACCGACUAAUGUUGAAAAAUUAGCGGAUGACUUGUGGCUGGGGGUGAAAGGCCAAUCAAACCGGGAGAUAGCUGGUUCUCCCCGAAAGCUAUUUAGGUAGCGCCUCGUGAAUUCAUCUCCGGGGGUAGAGCACUGUUUCGGCAAGGGGGUCAUCCCGACUUACCAACCCGAUGCAAACUGCGAAUACCGGAGAAUGUUAUCACGGGAGACACACGGCGGGUGCUAACGUCCGUCGUGAAGAGGGAAACAACCCAGACCGCCAGCUAAGGUCCCAAAGUCAUGGUUAAGUGGGAAACGAUGUGGGAAGGCCCAGACAGCCAGGAUGUUGGCUUAGAAGCAGCCAUCAUUUAAAGAAAGCGUAAUAGCUCACUGGUCGAGUCGGCCUGCGCGGAAGAUGUAACGGGGCUAAACCAUGCACCGAAGCUGCGGCAGCGACACUAUGUGUUGUUGGGUAGGGGAGCGUUCUGUAAGCCUGUGAAGGUGUGCUGUGAGGCAUGCUGGAGGUAUCAGAAGUGCGAAUGCUGACAUAAGUAACGAUAAAGCGGGUGAAAAGCCCGCUCGCCGGAAGACCAAGGGUUCCUGUCCAACGUUAAUCGGGGCAGGGUGAGUCGACCCCUAAGGCGAGGCCGAAAGGCGUAGUCGAUGGGAAACAGGUUAAUAUUCCUGUACUUGGUGUUACUGCGAAGGGGGGACGGAGAAGGCUAUGUUGGCCGGGCGACGGUUGUCCCGGUUUAAGCGUGUAGGCUGGUUUUCCAGGCAAAUCCGGAAAAUCAAGGCUGAGGCGUGAUGACGAGGCACUACGGUGCUGAAGCAACAAAUGCCCUGCUUCCAGGAAAAGCCUCUAAGCAUCAGGUAACAUCAAAUCGUACCCCAAACCGACACAGGUGGUCAGGUAGAGAAUACCAAGGCGCUUGAGAGAACUCGGGUGAAGGAACUAGGCAAAAUGGUGCCGUAACUUCGGGAGAAGGCACGCUGAUAUGUAGGUGAAGUCCCUUGCGGAUGGAGCUGAAAUCAGUCGAAGAUACCAGCUGGCUGCAACUGUUUAUUAAAAACACAGCACUGUGCAAACACGAAAGUGGACGUAUACGGUGUGACGCCUGCCCGGUGCCGGAAGGUUAAUUGAUGGGGUUAGCGGUAACGCGAAGCUCUUGAUCGAAGCCCCGGUAAACGGCGGCCGUAACUAUAACGGUCCUAAGGUAGCGAAAUUCCUUGUCGGGUAAGUUCCGACCUGCACGAAUGGCGUAAUGAUGGCCAGGCUGUCUCCACCCGAGACUCAGUGAAAUUGAACUCGCUGUGAAGAUGCAGUGUACCCGCGGCAAGACGGAAAGACCCCGUGAACCUUUACUAUAGCUUGACACUGAACAUUGAGCCUUGAUGUGUAGGAUAGGUGGGAGGCUUUGAAGUGUGGACGCCAGUCUGCAUGGAGCCGACCUUGAAAUACCACCCUUUAAUGUUUGAUGUUCUAACGUUGGCCCCUGAUCGGGGUUGCGGACAGUGUCUGGUGGGUAGUUUGACUGGGGCGGUCUCCUCCUAAAGAGUAACGGAGGAGCACGAAGGUUGGCUAAUCCUGGUCGGACAUCAGGAGGUUAGUGCAAUGGCAUAAGCCAGCUUGACUGCGAGCGUGACGGCGCGAGCAGGUGCGAAAGCAGGUCAUAGUGAUCCGGUGGUUCUGAAUGGAAGGGCCAUCGCUCAACGGAUAAAAGGUACUCCGGGGAUAACAGGCUGAUACCGCCCAAGAGUUCAUAUCGACGGCGGUGUUUGGCACCUCGAUGUCGGCUCAUCACAUCCUGGGGCUGAAGUAGGUCCCAAGGGUAUGGCUGUUCGCCAUUUAAAGUGGUACGCGAGCUGGGUUUAGAACGUCGUGAGACAGUUCGGUCCCUAUCUGCCGUGGGCGCUGGAGAACUGAGGGGGGCUGCUCCUAGUACGAGAGGACCGGAGUGGACGCAUCACUGGUGUUCGGGUUGUCAUGCCAAUGGCACUGCCCGGUAGCUAAAUGCGGAAGAGAUAAGUGCUGAAAGCAUCUAAGCACGAAACUUGCCCCGAGAUGAGUUCUCCCUGACUCCUUGA
RNAcentral lists this ribosomal RNA (2788 nucleotides) under Escherichia coli. RNAcentral describes it as "bacterial LSU rRNA". It matches the Rfam family "Bacterial large subunit ribosomal RNA". The record is from RNAcentral. Lineage: Bacteria; Pseudomonadati; Pseudomonadota; Gammaproteobacteria; Enterobacterales; Enterobacteriaceae.